Molecule: non-coding RNA, 72 nt
Organism: Candidatus Collierbacteria bacterium
Lineage: Bacteria; Candidatus Collieribacteriota
Source: Rfam
GCCGGCGUAACUCAGUGGUAGAGUAGCUGUUUUGUAAACAGCAAGUCGGAGGUCCGAAUCCUCCCGUCGGCU